UUUCAUGUCUUUUGUAUUAAAGAAUUAAAUGGAUGAAAUAUGAAGUUUUAUUAAAAGAAAAAGGGGUGAAAAGAACAAAGUUUUGUCCAUCUUUAUUCAUCAUAGCUGAAAGUUAGAGAAGAGAAAGGAGAGGAGAAAGCUCUUGAGUAUUCGGUCAUUAGGAGGAGGAAAAUUGAAGGUAAUCCCCAACCAUAGUGGGCUUGGAGCUGUGAGGGAAUUCGGAGUGGCCACCCGUUCUGAAAGUUUGAUUUUCUUCUGGUGAACUGGACAUCCUUUUAUUUACGUUUGAAGUUUUGGGUUUUUAAAUGUAAUAAGGCCGCUUAAUUAUUUUUGAUGGUUUUAAUAUGUAUUACUAA
This is a long non-coding RNA of Gossypium arboreum, 356 nucleotides long. RefSeq lists it as uncharacterized. The transcript is spliced from 2 exons. NCBI's taxonomy places the organism in Eukaryota, Viridiplantae, Streptophyta, Magnoliopsida, Malvales, Malvaceae. The record is from RefSeq and is a predicted model, not a curated record.